AUAAUCAAUUGGUUCGCACCUCGCUUUGACCACGGAUGUACUGGCACUGCGGUUAUGCGAACCCUGGAAAGGUCGGGCUUGCCCCGGCCUUUUUGUUU
Molecule: small RNA, 98 nt
Filed under: Rhizobium sp. BK529
Lineage: Bacteria; Pseudomonadati; Pseudomonadota; Alphaproteobacteria; Hyphomicrobiales; Rhizobiaceae
Description: sRNA ar35
Rfam family: Alphaproteobacterial sRNA ar35
Source: RNAcentral